GAUGAAGAACGCAGCGAAAUGCGAUACGUAAUGUGAAUUGCAGAUCUCUCAGUGAAUCAUCGAGUCUUUGAACGCACAUUGCGCCCCCUGGUAUUCCGGGGGGCAUGCCUGUCCGAGCGUCAUUGCUGCCCUCAAGCACGGCUUGUGUGUUGGGCCUCCGUCCUCCUCCCGGGGGACGGGCCCGAAAGGCAGCGGCGGCACCGCGUCCGGUCCUCGAGCGUAUGGGGCUUCGUCACCCGCUCUUGUAGGCCCGGCCGGCGCUUGCCGACACAUCAAUCUUUUUUCCAGGUUGACCUCGGAUCAGGUAGGGAUACCCGCUGAACUUAAGCAUAUCAAUAAGCGGAGGA
This 347-nucleotide unclassified non-coding RNA is filed under the name soil metagenome. RNAcentral describes it as "partial contains 5.8S ribosomal RNA, internal transcribed spacer 2, and large subunit ribosomal RNA". The stretch from base 1 to 122 matches the Rfam family "5.8S ribosomal RNA", at positions 35 to 154 of the family's 154-position model. The record is from RNAcentral.